This 468-nucleotide ribosomal RNA is filed under the name uncultured bacterium. RNAcentral's name for it is "partial 16S ribosomal RNA". It matches the Rfam family "Bacterial small subunit ribosomal RNA", at positions 28 to 507 of the family's 1533-position model. The record is from RNAcentral.
GACGAACGCUGGCGGCGUGCUUAACACAUGCAAGUCGAACGGAAAGACCCUGCUCUUGUGGCGUUCUCGAUUGGCGAACGGGUGAGUAACACGUGAGUAACCUGCCCUUGACUUUGUGAUAACUUCAGGAAACUGCGGCUAAUACCGGGUAUGAUCUCCUGCUGCAUGUUGGGGGUUGGAAAGUUUCGGCGGUUUGGGCUGGUCUCGCGGCUUAUCAGCUUGUUGGUGGGGUAGUGGCUUACCAAGGCUUUGACGGGUAGCCGGCCUGAGAGGGUGACCGGCCACAUUGGGACUGAGAUACGGAGCAGAAUGCUACGGGACGCAGCAGUGGGGAAUAUUGCACAAUGGGCGGAAGCCUGAUGCAGCAACGCCGCGUGCGUGAUGACGGCCUUUGGGUUGAAAACCGAUUUCGCAUGUGACGAAGAGUGAGUGACGGUAAUGGGUAAAGAAGCACCGGCUAACUACGUG